This is a long non-coding RNA of Oncorhynchus gorbuscha (pink salmon), 4981 nucleotides long. RefSeq lists it as uncharacterized. The record is from RefSeq and is a predicted model, not a curated record. Lineage: Eukaryota; Metazoa; Chordata; Actinopteri; Salmoniformes; Salmonidae. The transcript has 3 exons.
CCCUCCCCCCCUUUUACACUGCUGCUACUCUCUGUUGUUAUCAUUUAUGCAUAGUCACUUUAAUAACUCUACCUACAUGUACAUAUUACCUCGAGUAACCGGUGUCCCCGGACAUUGACUCUGUCAAUGUACCGGUACCCCCCCCAUGUGUAUAUUCUCGCUAUUGUUAUUUUACUGCUGCUAUUUAAUUACCUGUUACUUUUAUUUCUUAUUCUUAUUUGUACUGCAUUGUUGGUUAGGGGCUGGUAAGUAAGUAUUUCACUGUAAGGUCUACACCUUUUGUAUUAGGUGCAUAUGACUAAUACAAUUUGAUUUGAUUACAAAAAUACUCAGGAAACGAUCUGUCGAACAACAUAUUGCAAACACACAGUGGUGUUUUAUUGAAGCUCCAUACCCUGGGCUUCCUCCUUUCUGAUAGGACGCAGGGCAGGGCGUGUCCAAACACUGAUAUCCUCCACGAGUGUUGAAGCACAUCUGGUUGUGUCCACACUGGAUGCCUUGUACUGCACACUCAUCAAUGUCUGCAAGCAUCAGAAAGGAAACUCCGUAUCUGUAUGUGUUCUUGGCAAUGUAAACCUAGUCGUGGUGGGUGGUUUAUGUAGUGUUCAUGUGUAUUGUUCGUUUUCUCCAUACCUGUGCAGCUCCUGCCGUUGGGUAACAGCUGGUAGCCUGUAGGACAGAGGCACAGGAAACCCCCUAUUGUGUUCCGGCACUCAUGUUGGCAUGGGUUCCUCAGCAAGCACUCAUCCAGAUCUGUACAGAGACCGAUGACACAAUGAGAUGCCAAAUAUAUGACUGAACGGGAAUCCAACUACUUCGGGGAAGGGGGAAGAGACGACUCACCGACACAUGUGCCAUCUCUGUUGGUAUAGCCUAUGGGGCAGCUCUGUCUGGUGAUGCGAGAUACCCCAUGAUGCCGAGAGGGAAUGGGCCUACCCAGCGAUGACAACAGCUGUGGGCGCAGUCUUGCCCUGACACGGCUACCGUUGGAGAAGACCUGUCCUCUCUCUAGACCAGCACAAGAGCGCCCAUCCCCCGUUAACACAGUGCCUGGUGGGCAGAGGCACCGGAAGCUGCCUGGCAUGUUACGGCACUGGUGGGCACAGGGGCUUGGCAUCUGUAGGCACUCAUCAAUGUCUGAAAGGCAAAACAAGACUCAGACACUACUUAGAACAAUAUUUUAUUGGACAGUAGCAUAUUGUUUAGUGUAGUAAUACAUGUCUAUGCCAAAAUGAAGUGUCUUACCCAGGCAUGGACGGCCCACCCCCUGGGACUGAUAACCUCUGGGGCAGACACAGCCGUACCCCCCAAUGGUGUUCUGACACAUCUGGCUGUACCGGCACAAGUGGCUUCCAUCCUGGCAUUCGUCCACAUCUGUGAAUCACAAUGUUAGUAAACACAGGGCAUACUAUAAUGAUAGGAUCAGCAUUCUCACACCACAAACCUGCGUGCAACAACAUUCAAAGUAAAAGAUGGGUGAAGUAUAAAUGGCAUCAUACCGACACAGGCUCCAUUCUCUCCCAUUCUCAUGCCAGCUGGGCAGCUGUCGAAACACUGGUAGCCUCCCUCUGUGUUGCGGCACUGCUGGUGAGCUGGGCACACAUUCCUGCUGCACUCGUUGAUGUCUGUAUACAAACAAACACAAAGGGUUAGAGAUUCCACAAUUGAACUUGUAUGAUACUGGUAUGAAAGAUUUGAUUCUGUUGAUAAUAUCAUCAGUGAGUCACAGGGUCCACUGACCCAGACAGCGCUGGCCAGACAGCUGGUAGCCAGGGUUGCAGACACAGCGGAAGGAGCCCAGGGUGUUCAGACACUGCUGCUGACAGGGGGAGAGAGACGACUCCUGGCACUCAUCCACAUCUGAAACUCACACCACAGAUCAAACUCUGUUACUAAUAUGCCUUAUUGUCAGGACCUUAUUAUAAGAUGGAGACUAGAAUGUAUUCUAUUCAGUGCAUGACUGAAAAACAAUCCCCCCUCCCAAAAAAAAGUGUAUUUGUUGUGAAUAGACUUGCCUUCACAGCUGGAUCCCAUGGCGCUGGGCUUGAAGCCUGGGACACAUUUAGCCUGGCAGCGGUAUGUGCCAACCGUGUUCACACACUGCUGGUUGUAGUGGCACAUGUGGGAGCCCUGGGCACAUUCAUCAAUAUCUGUAGAGAGAUACCACAUGUGAGGUCAAACACAAGAACACUGUCUGCAAUACAGCAGUAGGAUGUAUACUUUCACAGUGAUAAUAUCACCCUGGAACCAAAUAGUGUGUGUGCUAGCUAACUGAUUCUGUUUACAUUUUAUCCCCCAACAUUCUUUUUUUUAUACAAAUUUCAAAAUAGAUGACCUUCUAAAUAUAGCAUACAAAUCACCAUGAUACCAGAUCCCUUUACAGACCGAUCACUUACUGUAACGUAAUCUAAUUAGGAGACACUGUAUAACGGUGAGAUAAAGUAUGCAGCGUUCAGUUAGUGUUUCCUGUGGCUGACCUUGACAUGUGUUGGUUUCUGGGGAGAUGGUGAAGCCAGAGGGACAGGCACAGGAGAAGCCACCCAUCACAUUGUUGCAGGAAUGUGAGCAAGGCGACGCGGCAGCACAUUCAUCCUCAUCUAAGCAUUCAGAUACAGUUUAUAAAGGUAGGAGUAGGGAGGCUGUGAUCUGGAAGUCCAGACUGAGAGUGAACAUGCUGUAGAUGCCAUCCAUCUGGGACACCUUGACGAGCUGCAGCAGUGGCCCCUGACGCUCCUCUCGGCCCUCGUAGAUGAUGGAGUGGUUACAGCGCAGCACCAUGGGACCGUCUGCUCUCUGGUGGGCCUGGGACGACCAUGAGUACAGCUGCCCUGGUCCCGUUUGCACGUAUGACUCAUCAAACUCCUGCAUGACACGAAGCAGUCAUCAUAUUAGAGAUAGAUUAUGUUGAGAUUUAAUUAAGACUUUUAUGGUUUGUCACAGUCAGGGACUUCAGCUGGCCUUCGGGUGACCGUGUUAAUCAAUACACACCUGCAGAUUGAGAUGGGAGGUUGAUAAUGUCAGAGGGACAAAGCCGUUGAUGACAAUGUCUAUUAGGAGAGCCCCCUCUGAGUCCAGACCUCUGGCUACAUGGGUCAACUGAAGGAUCUCUCCUGGUUACAAACACAAACACAACAUUCAAAUACAUCUGGGAUACAUUAUAAAACAGUCACUCGGGAGAGUUGUCUGUCUGAAGAGGACCCACCCCAUAUUUUGGGGGGGUUCUUAUUGAAGUUGCCAAAGGAGUCCGUCAUUGAAACCAGAUCCUAGUAAUAAUUUUAAAAAACUACAGUCAUGGAGAACUAUGCCCUCUGCUGGUUCUCUUAUAAUGUACAGAUUUAAAGGGACAAUUCCGCUUACGAGAGACAACCACUGUUAUUGGACUACAUUUACAGUAGAGUAAACCUUAGUUCAGGUUAAUUUACAGGAUGUUAUUGUAUCUGUUCUUCAGUGCUGACCUGUGUCAAACUCCAGCUGGGAUUCCUGUCUGAACAGGCCCUGGGUCUGGGAGUAGCCGUUCCUGGCUGCUCCAGUCUGCAGCACUGUGGUCCAGUAGAUGGGAGCAAACACAGACACCAACACCCGUAGCAAUGGACCUGCAAAACAUCAGUAGUUAGACCACAGCCUCUAUGGAAAUACCUCUGAGCAAAGUGUGAUAGGUCAGGAUACAGCAAUGGUCAGUGGCUGAGUGAUCUAUGUGCUUGAUUAUGGGAAAUAACUUUACAGCAAGUGCUUGAUUAUUGCAUUUAGAUCUGCUUCUGAGAGGCUCCUACUGGUUACUGUAAGACAUCUCUCACACUCCCAUACUCACCCACACUAGGAGGGAUGUUGUCCAGGUGGGCCUGCAGGGUGCUGGUGCCCUCUUCUGGGUUAUCUGUGAUGUUAGCCUCCAGGAACGACACCCCAAACUCCCUAUCAUUCACCACCCCAAUCAGACUCCCCCUGGCCUUACGAGGGGCCUCCCCUUCAGUCAACAGAGACAGAUACAUAAGUAUUAAGUUAUACAUGAUUUAAGAGUAGCUGUAGUACUAUACCUUCUAUGUACACACAUGAUUUAAUUGUUAAAUUCAGCUGCGUCCGUUUGGAGUGACAGGAGAACAGUUCAAACACUCGUACCUGGACAGAGUCCAAUCUGACAUCUCCUGGAGUCCCUACUGGGAGCGUCACAUGAUUUCCCCCCAUUGGCCAGCUCUGGAUUGUUGCAUAACCUGAUUCGCUCCUGAUUCCCUCGACCACAGGUGGUGCUGCAUGGGCCCCAAUCCUCCCAGUUAGAAUAACCUCCAUUGACUGUGGCAGGAGAGGGAGAGUAGGGAGGGAGACAGAGAUCAUCCAUAUAGAGAAUUAAAUAAACAAUCCAUAAUUACUAUUGUGUGUUUUCUUAUUCCUUUGAUAUAAUGGAUCGAGAGGAUCGAAUUGUAGGAAUAUUAGAUUUAUUUUAUUUAUUUAUUUAUAGGGGACAAUCAACAUUAAUCAACAUGAAUAUUACAAUAAUGCAACAUCCAUGUAAAUGUGCUGGGGUUAGCCAAAAGCUAAUUUGGGCCUGUGUAACGGUAAAGGCCUUUGCACAGCCACUAUACAAAUACUGACUAAAACAAUACAAUAUACAAAUACAUUACAUCCAAUAAUAUAUAACUCUAACAACAACAACAACAUCAACUGUCGUCUUACAUAUGAAGAACCACAGAUAACUCUGAACAGGUUUGGAUAGAUUUGAGCCAUGUUUUCAAUAAAAAUUUAAAAAUACAAUAAUCAGUGCAGCUCCUCAAGUCCAUGGGCAUUGCAUUCCAGUAUAUUGUAGCUCUAACAGAGAAGACUGAUUGACCGAUUUUACUGUGUCGAAAAGGGACACAAUCCCCUCUUACCGCCCUUGUUACUCUGGAGGUGCCUUCCUUGAGCAUUAUCCUGUAUGCCGGCAUAGGGGUGGAGGGACAAGAACAUGCAGGAUCUUAAAGACAAGGCUUGCAUCUGCAUACUGCUUAAAGCU